This 351-nucleotide long non-coding RNA is filed under the name Homo sapiens (human). RNAcentral describes it as "long non-coding RNA NONHSAT162194". Lineage: Eukaryota; Metazoa; Chordata; Mammalia; Primates; Hominidae. The record is from RNAcentral.
GACACCACAAUUUGAACAUGUCUUGGCUGUAGGAAAUCUGGUAAGAUGGAACACUGUCUCCCGAUAUUAGGAUUGGAAUGUGUUUUGCCUGUAGGAUAUCUUUUUCUGGUACUGAAAGCUGGAGUUUCUUUGAAAAGAAAGUAAUAGUUAAUUGGAAGACAAAUGCUUCCACAUAUGCCAGGACACCAGCUGCUUUUCUGCUCACUGUUGUGAUCCCUUUCCUCUUUCUGCAGAACUUUGAAGACGUCAUUUAGGAGCUAUUGGCAGAAAACCAAUGUUGGCGACAGAAUGGGAGGCCUGGUACAGUGGGUUGGUUUCAGCAGCCUGAGCCAAGUACUUCUGGUUUUUUUC